Molecule: long non-coding RNA, 799 nt
Filed under: Hordeum vulgare
Lineage: Eukaryota; Viridiplantae; Streptophyta; Magnoliopsida; Poales; Poaceae
Description: long non-coding RNA (HVUL_LNC008821)
Source: RNAcentral
CCUCCUCUCCCACACAAAACGCAUCCACCGCCAAACUGUGGAGAUGCCAGCGACCGCCGUCAUUGUCACAGAUCAGCACGACGCGACCGUCGCGGAUCAUCAGAACACCGCCUACUCCACUACCAACACCGACGGCUCAAAUACAUCACGGAUCACCAGGUCGCUACUAUUGCGGAUCACGAGGAUGCAGCUGUCACGGAAUUGGAACACCGGGACACCGUCGGCGCCUCAGAUACCCACAUGUUGUAGACGCCACAUAUCCGCACGAACAACGUAUACGGCGGCAAAAAGUGCAGGGCAUCCUCACUCAAUAGCUAAAUCAUGACAAACAAAUCUCAUUAGGAGAACAUUAUGUAUGGAAGGACGCGACCAUCGCGGCCGCUGCCUCCACUCCCACACGAAUCAACAGGACGUGGCCAUCGCGGAUCAUCAGAACUAUACACUGUGGAUCAACAGUACGGCGACGCCGACUCCACUUCCAUCACUAGUGCCUAGGAUACGUCGCGGAUCACCAGGAAUUGUCCAUCACGGAUUUGGAACACCAGGACGCCGCCGCCGCCGGUGCCACGGAUACUCACACGCCACAAACACCACAGAUCUGCAUGAACGAUGCAUAGUGCGACGAAAAGUGCACGGAGUCCUCGCUCAACUGCUAUGUUGAAGGCACGUACUUGAUAUGACUCGGUCGUAUCUAGAAUUUUUGAUUGCUUCAUGCCAAUAUGCUACAACUUUCAUGUACUUUUGGCAAUAUUUUAUAUUAUUUUUGGGACUAACUUGCUUAUCUAGAGCCCGGUGCCAC